This is a ribosomal RNA of 197 nucleotides. It matches the Rfam family "Bacterial small subunit ribosomal RNA", at positions 1 to 198 of the family's 1533-position model.
UACGAUGAAGAGUUUGAUCCUGGCUCAGGAUGAACGCUAGCGGCAGGCUUAACACAUGCAAGUCGAGGGGUAUAGUUCUUCGGAACUAGAGACCGGCGCACGGGUGCGUAACGCGUAUGCAAUCUACCUUUCACAGAGGGAUAGCCCAGAGAAAUUUGGAUUAAUACCUCAUAGUAUUAUAGAGUGGCAUCACUUUA